CUUAAGCAUAUUAAUAAGCGGAGGAAAAGAAACCAAAAGGGAUUCCCUCAGUAACGGCGAGUGAAGAGGGAGAAGCCCAGCGCUGAAUCGUAUUGCUUGCAAAGGUAGUAUGACAUGUAGCGUGAAGCUGGCGGCUAUUGCUGUUGUCGAUGCGUGUAAGUCUCCCUGAGCGGGGCUCAGUCCCAGAGAUGGUGCUAGGCCCGUAUCGCGCGUGACAAGUACAGCAAUGUUCGUUAGCGGAGAGUCAGGUUGCUUGGGAACGCAAUCUAAAGUCGGUGGUACACUCCAUCGAAGGCUAAAUAUGGCUUCGAGUCCGAUAGCGAACAAGUACCGUGAGGGAAAAUUGAAAAGCACUUUGAAGAGAGAGCGAAAUAGUGCGUGAAACCGCUCAGAGGUAAGCAGAUGGGCCUUUGAAGGUGUGCAUAGGAUUUAUUUCCUAGUUCGUACGCCACCGUCGUUGCUUGAUUUUUUGGUGCGCCAUGCGCUGACAUUUGGACACCCGAGAUUGGGACUCGUGCCUGCUCGGGAUGCUCGGUGUUGGACGUAAUGAGUAUAGCGGCACUUGGUAACGAAGCAGGGCAUUGUCGUUGCUGUAAAGCGCCGGCUGUGUUUGCUUGCUGGCGUAUUUGCUGUUGUGACGAGACGCAAGUCUCGGCAUGCGGCAUACGUCGCAAAUCGAGCAUUAGCCCCGGCAUAACGACUUUAAGACCCGGUGGCGAGUAAACAGUUUCCCAUCUAACCCGUCUUGAAACACGGAACCAAGGA
This 765-nucleotide ribosomal RNA is filed under the name Pseudechiniscus sp. 3 PG-2021c. RNAcentral describes it as "partial large subunit ribosomal RNA". It matches the Rfam family "Eukaryotic large subunit ribosomal RNA", at positions 33 to 672 of the family's 3401-position model. Lineage: Eukaryota; Metazoa; Tardigrada; Heterotardigrada; Echiniscoidea; Echiniscidae. The record is from RNAcentral.